AAAAAACUUAAUCAAUAAAAUAUAAUCUUGACGUAACAAUGUGCCAUCUGAUGUACUAAUUGUCAUUUAAAACCUACACAAGUUCCUAGAGAUACAAUUUCCAGUAAUCUUGCUUAUACCAUAAAAAAAAUGUAAUACAAAUCCUAGACUUUAAUAUAAUAAAUUAAAGCCUUUUUAAACCAAGUACCAGUGGCAUACUCCAUUCAAAA
RNAcentral lists this unclassified non-coding RNA (209 nucleotides) under Hevea brasiliensis (rubber tree). Lineage: Eukaryota; Viridiplantae; Streptophyta; Magnoliopsida; Malpighiales; Euphorbiaceae. The record is from RNAcentral.